AAGUGCGAUAUAUAGUGCGAUCUGCAUGAAUCUGUGAGUCAUCUAGUAUUUGAACGCAACUUGCGCCGUAUGUAUGGCAUGUUCCAUCGAGUACCUGGAAAGUAGUAUGGCUUUGUAGUAAUGCAAAGACAUGAUAUGGCUUAUGUCUGUGCGGUGGUACAGACUGCGCUGAAAUGGAGCAAGUGAAGGGUGAGGGUGUUCUCACGUGUGCUAGAGACUUAAGUGUUUUGUCACGCGGGGGCAGUCGUCUACUCUGAACAACCAAUCAAACAAACUGGUCUCGGUGGAGCAAGAUUACCCGCUGAACUUAA
RNAcentral lists this unclassified non-coding RNA (311 nucleotides) under uncultured fungus. RNAcentral's name for it is "sequence contains ITS1". The stretch from base 1 to 96 matches the Rfam family "5.8S ribosomal RNA", at positions 51 to 154 of the family's 154-position model. Lineage: Eukaryota; Fungi. The record is from RNAcentral.